This 236-nucleotide ribosomal RNA is filed under the name Salmonella enterica subsp. enterica serovar Enteritidis. RNAcentral's name for it is "partial 23S ribosomal RNA". It matches the Rfam family "Bacterial large subunit ribosomal RNA", at positions 560 to 796 of the family's 2925-position model. The record is from RNAcentral. Lineage: Bacteria; Pseudomonadati; Pseudomonadota; Gammaproteobacteria; Enterobacterales; Enterobacteriaceae.
GUACGUACAAGCAGUGGGAGCACAGGUUUACCUGUGUGACUGCGUACCUUUUGUAUAAUGGGUCAGCGACUUAUAUUCUGUAGCAAGGUUAACCGUAUAGGGGAGCCGAAGGGAAACCGAGUCUUAAUUGGGCGUUAAGUUGCAGGGUAUAGACCCGAAACCCGGUGAUCUAGCCAUGGGCAGGUUGAAGGUUGGGUAACACUAACUGGAGGACCGAACCGACUAAUGUUGAAAAA